This 14022-nucleotide long non-coding RNA is filed under the name Marmota monax (woodchuck). The stretch from base 13153 to 13221 matches the Rfam family "tRNA". Lineage: Eukaryota; Metazoa; Chordata; Mammalia; Rodentia; Sciuridae. The record is from RNAcentral.
GAACUCCAGGUGGACGCCGGGAGCUAUGAGGUGCACCAACCACGGUGGAUGUGACUUACCCACAGCAUGGCACGCGGCCCACGAGGCUCAGGCCAGAUCCCUGUCCUACCCCAUGAGAUCUACUCCAGAAGUAAAUCUACCUGUUCGUCAACUACAAAUUGCAUCUUCUAGCAUAUACACAAUUCACCCCACCUUCAGCCAACGUGGAACCGUGUCUUGCACAUCUACUUUCCUCCCAUAAAUGACGCUUUGCCCGUGAGAUCCCCUGGCUCUGCACCUCAGGUGAGUUAUUCUGAAUCACUGGAUUCUCCUUCCAAACAAUGGGCCUAACUUACAGGGCUUUUUUUAAAAAGAUUAAAUGAGAAAAUACUAUAUGGUUCACAGUUUUUCUACCCCACCAUUUCCCUUUAGGGGCAUAAACCAUAAAGCUUGAAAGUCAGACAGAUCUGGGUCAAAAUCCAGGUGCUGUAAUUGACCAAACUCUGGGAUCUCAGGUUCUACUUCUCUUGGCUUUACUUUCAGCAUCAGAAAAAUGGGGUUGAUCUCCUCUUCAGGGGAUGGAGCAGGCAUUGAAUGGCCACAUAUAGGCCCUCUGGACCCAGAGUUUCUGAAUCAGAGGAUUCAACCAACCUCAGACGGAAAAAUUUGUGUCACAACUGAACGUAUGCAGGAUGUUUGUUUUUGAGACAGGUCUCGCUAUGUUGUCCAGGCUGGCCUUGAACUCAAGGCCUGGCCUCCAGCGAUCCUCCCGCCUUAGCUUCCCAAAGACCUGGGACCACACCUGGCUACAGCACAGAAGAUUGUUCCUUGCCAUUAUUUCUUUGCCUACACAAUACAGUAUAACCACUCCGUACAAAGCAUUCACAACGUAUUCGGUAGUAUAUCUCGUAAUGAUUGAGGAUGUCUGUAGGUCAUGUGCAAAUUAUAUUAAGCAAUUUAUAGUAAGGACUUGAAACACUGAUUUUGGCCUUGGAGAGCGUCCUGGAACCAAUCCCUUGAAGGGCAAAAUAGCAGGGGUCACUGUCGUUGGUGCUGGACUCCUUGAGUUGCUGGCCACAGGAUCUUUGGGAAUUGGGACCCUAUCUCUGGAAAGCUCCCAGGUGUGGCCUGCCCAGCCCUGAAUGAGCCCUGGACUUGAAGCCAUCGAUUCUUCCCCUUCCUCUGGAGCUGUCAGGACCCAGCUCCAAAGGGCAGCAGCUCCCAGGAGCUGACAGGACGGCAGAGCUCGCUUGAAGGUCCAGGAGAGGAGUUUAAGAAGGGAAGGAGAGGCUGCCACCCGUGGGCCCGGAUCACAUGCCUCUGCCAUGCACAGGUAAGGGCGAGCCACUAUAGAAGGCAGAGUUUUCUUUUAAAUUACACUAAUGGCUAAUGUUUAUAGAGAUGUGCUAGGCCUGGUGCUGAGAACCACAACUCUUCAUUUGAUCUGACGUCCCCAGACUUCCUCACCUGAUAGAUGGCAAAACUGAGAUUCAAAGAGGUGAAAUGACUGUCCCAAGGCCACAGAGUGCAGCAGAGGGGCUGCCAUUUGAACCACCUGGCUCUAGAGCUCCCUUGUUGCCCCACUCCUGGAGUCUCCAGAAGAACUUCAGAAUUCUGGAGCUCAGGACUGGUUCCAGACACAGCCAGGGCACCCAAGGGCCUGAGGAGUCACAGUCCGAUUCCAAGACACAUGGAGGUUGAGAGGCAUCCUCCAGGUGCCCAGCCACCCCAGGGCCACCUGGUGCCUGUCCUCUCCUGGGGACUCACCACUCCAGCAACUCCUACUCUUUCUCCUCCACCAGCCACGCGGGGCGUGGGGCAGAGAGAACCAGGAUUUUAUCAAGACAAAGAACAAAAGUCGUGGGGGAAAGAAGCCAAGAGCCAUCUCCCCUGUGGGGUAGGGCCCUUCAGUUUUGCCCCUUUGAAAUUUCAAAUUCCAGUUUGUGGACAAAGUCCUAACUAUCUCACAAUAUAGGUUCCCAACUGCUGACCAAACUCCAGUCUAGCCGCCACCUGGCCCCAGGCUGGCCCAGUCUGGCUGCUUCCCGACAGCUCCCAAGAUCUGGGGUAGGAGGCCAAGGGCAGCUGGGGACCGCCAAGGACCCCCACCUCCCACCUGAGAGGACAGCUUCCUGCCCAGAGUUGGGAUCUGAUGCUUCCUGGUCUCAACAGCAGAUGCCAGGUAGGCGCCCUGGCGGUCUGGGCCUCUGGGCUCCUCCUGGAGCCCCCAACGGACCACCUGCUCACACUGCCAUGGCUUAAUCCCCAAGGGACCCCACAGCACUGGACAGGCUGUGUCCCUGACCCACUCCUUUGGCACAUGGAGACACUGAGGCUGUCGGCAAAUGGAAGCUGCUGCAGUUUGAAGAGUGGAGCUGGCCAGAGACCAGGGGCCCCUCCCUGAGCCCCAAAGGCUGGAAGGGACUUGGGAAUUGCUCCAGGCCACUCAGUGGUGGCAGGUAAGCUUGGACUGAACAAGGAGGUCAGUCCCCUUCGCUUCCUCUCCUACAGACCGUGGAUGGCCCUGUGUGUUUGUCCACUCAGUGACUGAUGGCCACCAGGUUGCCCCAGGAGCAUUUCCGAGAGGAAGACGAGGGAGCUGGGGCUGAAGGCCAGUGGGAUUGGAAGGAAACACUAUUCACAUGGUUAACUGAUAACUGGGCCCCAUCCCCGGGCCUCCACAGGCCUCUUUCCUCCCUCCCUCUCCUCAGCAUGAUUAAGAUGAACUUACCUGCCUGCUAAUCAUUGCUGAGACUGUUGAUUUUGCCUUAAAAAAUUAACUGGGCAUGAGUUUGCGGUUUGCCUCACCCCUAACCCUGAAAAGGCCUGGGUGGGCAGGAGGCCUCCUGGGUUAUGCAAGAGGCCGCUGGCCUCCCCACGCGCAUCCCGUGGCCUCCUCUGCCGUUCUCCAAAGGGGAGUUUUGCUCAAGAGUCAACAGUCUGCCUGUCCCCCUGCCGGGUCCUGAGCAAAUUUGCUCUGUUACCAAAGAGAGAUAAAAACACUGUGGAAUGGGGGUGGGGGGAACUUUCCAAAUGGGGAUGUGAAGCAGUGGCUUUGAGCUUGGGUUUCUAGAAUCCUGCAGCAUCAGAGCCAAGAGAACCUUUCGGAGGAUGUGGGCUGGGGCUUUUUAUUUUUAUUUGACUUUUCAAAGCAGCUUCUGGUGUUCCCAGGAGCCCACAGAUUGAUGCUCUCUUAGGUGUGAUCUUUCUUAAUGUUUCCAUUGAGAGAAGGGAGACCACAGGUGCAGCCUCAGCCCCUCAGUGUGCAGAUGGGAAAAGAGGCCAGGGGAGGGGUGGGUGCCUCAGACAAGAACACAGGCCACCCAGGUAUCCUGGGUCUCCAGCCGAGACAGGGAUAACAGGUACUCUCUGGACCUGAAUGACAUGUUGAAGGACAUCAGGGAACAAGGUGGCUGCAUGCACAUCUUCCCCUGCCAUCCCCCUCUUCUUGGAGGGCAGAAGUAAGCAGAGAGGUGUCCUGAGAGUCCUGGAAGAUCCCACGGCAGGGGACUUCACCUGUAGUGUGUUCUGUGGUCCUCUGAGGAGCAGGACCAGCAGCAUGAGCUGCAAACCAGACUCUGUCACAGCCCCUCUUGGCCAACCCUGCCCUGACUCUCGGUCCCUCCGAACCUCAGUUUCUCUCCCUGUAAAUUGGGAACAAUACCUACCUAACUCCUAGGGUUGUCAGGAGGGUGAACGGAGUAAAAAGCAUUCAUUGAUAAUGAGGGCCAAUGUGCAUGCAGCUGUUUCGGGGGGGCUAUCCAUCCGUGUUAGCUCAUGAAUUCUUACACCACCCUAACACAGACAGUGUUUUUAUCACCAUUUUGUGGAGCAUGGGCACAGAAUGAUUGAGUCAUGCGCUCAAGCCCACUCAGCUGAUAAGAAAUAAGUUAGGAUUCAAGUCCAAACUGAUUGCAGAAUCUGUGCUCCUAACCCUAAAGCACCCUGCCUUUCCAGGAAUGUACGUAGUAAGGGCUCAAGGAAAGCUGGUCAGUAGAGGGGCAUGGAAGUCCCUCUGGUCAGAGAUCAGGGCAUUGCAGGAGCUGCUGAGUUUGAGGUAGAGAGGAUGGCCAGAGGCUGAGCCAUCAGGAGGAAAGCCAGGACCCAGUCUGUGUGGGCGGAGCCGCCCUGUGGGUUGCCUGCCUGCUGCCAGGGGGGCGUUCCUGUUCUCCUGUUUAUGUUCAUCUCUUCUGUUUAUGUUCCUGACUUUAUCUGCAGGGGUGACCUUGGGGAAUUAGAUGGGGCCUAGCCUGCCCUCAUGGGGCCUGAAGGGUGAUGGGAAGUUCCUGCUCAGUCCAGGCCCUCGACUCAGGGAUAAAAGUCGCCCUUAGCCUCUCUGGAUCCCUCCUGAGGGGCUUCAGGGAUUUGUCUGGAGGUCACUGCGGUGAAAGAUUUGCAAGUCCUGAGACUUAGGCCAGGAUCACUGUGUACAGUUGUACAAGCUGCUCCCCACACGCAUGUUCUCUAGCCAAGAUGGUUGAGUGGGGGUAGAAAUCCAGCCCUUGCUCCAAAGCCCAUGAACUUUGCCUGCCUGGAGGGGGAUGUCUUUUUCUUAUUUGCACAAAGAAUCCAUGUAAGCUACUAGGAGCUCUGCCCCAGCUCUGUUUCCAGCCACUGUGUGACCUCGGACAAAGCCCAUCCCUUCCUGGCCUUGGAUUCCUGUUUGGGAAGUUGUGUCUAGCAUAAAGCAGAGAUUCAAUCUAGAUAGUGAAACAGAAUCACCUGGGAUCUUAAAAAAAUAUAUAGAUGCUCAGCUGCUCGGGUAGCUCAGUGGUAGAGCAGAGAGCAAGUUGUUCCAUUCUCAGCCCUAAAGCAAAACACUGAGGCCCAGGCUGGGUGAUACGCCAGUGAUCAAAUCUUAGGGUAGCAGUGAGUAGUGCUCGGCUUCAGUAGUUUUUGAAAUCCCUGGAUGAUUCUGAUCAUCCAGGAUGAUUCAGGCCCAUCACAGAAGGCUUGACAUUUUGAAGUGGAAAGACCUUGACACAGGUCUGAGUUUUCCAACUAAGUGCAGCUUACUAUUCAGAACUUCAGGGAGGAUUGGUUUCCCCAUCUGUAAAAUGGACCCACAACUCCCUCACAAUGUCAGAAUGCUGAGUCAGCGGAUGACAUCCUGAGAUGGUCCCUGAUUCUUGGUGCCAAUGGCUGUUAUUGUUACUGUCAAUAAAAUAUUGGUAUCAAGUAAAAGGCCCUUCCAGGCCAAGCGUUCAGGGACAUGGAGCCAGGCUUUCUCUGUUCCUUGGAUGCCCAUCUUCUCUGCCCACCUGUCCUAUUAUUGAAGUUGUGUGGUGAUGAUGAUGAUGAUGAUCUGAUUUGUUAGACAUUGCACAUUUAUUUCUGAAUCAUUAACGACCUUCACAUGGCUCAGAAUCAGAUGUGAAAAAGGUACCCUGUUGAGAAGCCCGGUCCGCUCUGCCUGCUGCUGCCUGAGCUCUCCACCUCUUUACCACCCUUCCUCAUUUUCCUACUUUCUCAUGGAUCUUUCUUGAAAGUCUUUCACGGAAGUACAAGAAUCUAUAAGAUCACAGGUCGUCAGCCCUGCCUCCCACACUGUCCUGCCUCCUGCCUGUUUCCUUGACCAUUAUGGCCUGCAGAUUUUCCCAUAGCAGUUGAGAGCCAGCUUUGGGAGAAAACAGGCUCUGGGAGGGAGCGUUGUUUUCCCAGGAAGCCAAGUCAGUCAUGUUUGAACUCUCUCUCCUUGGCUCCAGAGCCCAUGUCUGUCCCCUGAACUGAAGUGGCCUUCCAGGAACCCAGGCCUCAGGAGUUUGGGAGCCAGGCAUAAACUGGUGCAGCACAGACCUGGCCUUCCCGGGCAUAAGGGAAGGUGGGGUUGGGUGGGCUGUUAGGGCCUCUCCUGUUUCUGGGCCCUGAAGACCCAAAGACAGGCUAAAGUAUGGAAUAAGUCAUCCAAAUAGGGACCCAGUGAGGGGUGUCCCCUGGAUGGGACGUCAUGGCCUGGUGGCCCUGCCAUCCAGCACUGUAGAACCUGCAAGCUCAGAGUGUGCUGGCAGCAGCAAGGUCCAAAGGAGGAGGGGCAGGGAGGAAGGGAAGCCUAGCCAAUGGGACGGCCAAUGCAGAGCCCUGGGGGACCCAUUCCUGGAGGGCAGGAUUUGGAAUUCAAGACAGAAGUGGUGAGGACAGCUUAGCCCACAUUUUCUGUGCAGGCGAAUUCAGGGUCCCCCUGGAUCCUUGACCUGCUCAGAGCACUGACUGAGCAAGUCAAGCUCGCUCUCUGCGCCUCAGCUGCAAAAUGAAGAUUAGACAGCUGGUCUUUGGGCAGCCUUGAAGCACCCCUAAAGGCAUCUUUGGGGGCUCCCUCUCCUUGUUGAGGGAAUCUGAAUCCUGUUUUGACCAGAAUAUCAUUCACCUAUCAGGGCCCUUGGCCUUCCUGGAUGGGGGCUGGGGAUAAAAGUCUCCACACUGCUUCAAAGUCCAGCCUCCUCCCCCCAGUUCUGUGUCUCCCUCCUGCCACCCCAUAUUCCUUCCAGGCAAAUGCAGAGGCAGGACCAUACCUGGUGGGUCCUGGGGGAAGCCCUGGCCCCCGUCCGACAUCCUCCUCCCGGUGCUAUGGGGUCCCGCACAGUGGGCAACCUCUUCAUCCCUGAGUCAACCCCUGCUGCCACCCUGGCACCCUAGACCCUGUGGGGACUGCUGGGCAGAGUUAAUCCCUUAAUACUGGUCACAAUGAGAUUUCAGGGAUGGUGGGAGGCGGUCUCCAUGGAGACCGAAGACCUGUCCAGGACCCACGCAAGGAAUUAGCCCCAGGCCUCUGCAAGGGGCCCCUAGAGACCCAACCCAAACAGUGGGAGACGCCGGGCCUGCAGGCCUGGGUCUGGCCUCCUGCUCUCUGUGUUCUUUUGCUGAACAGGUGAGAUGCAUUCAUGGGAGCCUGCGUCACCUUUCUGAGACAGAUUCUUUAUCCUCCAUUUGGGGUUCUGGGCCUCAAUCAACUUUUCUAGAAGAGUGCCACUUUGGGAGUCUGUUAGACCUGAAUUUGAUGCUCAGCUUUUCUGUCUCAGACUGCCUCAGGCCAAGCACUGCGCUUCUCUGAGCCUCAGUUUCCUCAUCUUUAGGAUGGGCACCAUAAUGCCACCCUGGUGUCACUCUUGGGUCUGUGUGGUGGGUAGUGACACUCAGUGAAUGUAAGUGUCUUCACCUCUUUCUGCUGCCCUUCCCCAAUCACCUGAAGACCCCACGCCACACCCUCGUCCCUGGCAGAGAGCUGUCACAUCUCUCUCUGCCACCCUGUCCCUCCUCCAAGUCCCAUCUUGGUCAUUCUCUGGCAAGUCCUGCCAACCAUCCUCCCACAGCCCCAGAGCUUUCCAUCAUCACAGUUUAAUCAGGUGGUGCUUGUCUGCCUCCUCCUCUAGCAGUGUCCCCUUUACCACUGCAUUCCCAGGACCCAGAUUGGCGCUUAAUAUAACCGGUUGGCUGAAUGAAAGAGCGAACAACCAAGGAAUCGUCGGCCCCAGUGUUGAACACUGAUUCAGCACCUGCCCCGUGUGCGAUCCCAGGAGAUGCCACAGCGAAGAUCCUGGGCAAGAGCCCUGCCUCACAGGGCUGCAACCAGCAAGCCAGGUCAAGGCUGCCCAGGCAAACUGCAAGUCCAGAAAAACUUUACUUUAGAAUGCUUUUCUAAAGUAGGUCCCAAAGAAUGAAUGGGGCAUACUCAUACUUUAAAAGUUUGUGGUUUAUCUCAAACCCAAAUGAGAGUCGUGGAUUGUUUCUGGAAGCUCUAUCCCCCCUCCCCUGGCACACAGCUUGGGUCAUGGUGGAAAGGCGGAGUGGGGACCGAAAUCAAGUAAAUAAACAACCAAGUACAUUCAAAUAGUAGUUAAACAAUGACACAGCACGAUGCGACAGCACACCGGGACAGGUAGGGGGCGUCUUUGGAUCUGACAGCAAGAUUUCACCUGCACCACUUUUAAUCCCAGUGUUGCUUAGGAAAAGCCCUUUGAGGAUCUUAAAGGGCACGAGGGAGACUCCGAGGCGGGCAGAGGGUGCCAGCCGGGGAAAGGGGCUGCUGAAUCUCACUCGAUAGACUCCGCGGUCUGCAGCUUGGACCUGGGCCUUCGCAAACCUGCGCGAACCCGCAGACCCACCCCUCGGGUCAGCCAAUGUCCUCGACGGGGCUGGGAGCCAGGGGAAGAGGCCAAAGGAGCUGUGCAGAGAAGCGUGGCCACCUGGCCAGAGCUGGGAGCCUUGACACACUUUCCCCUCCCUGGCCCGCCCCACCCCCGGCGCAGCAGAACCUGCGUGAGCCCCAAGCCGGAGGGCGACCUGGAGGAGGCGACAGCGACGCGCCUCUGCUGCGCUUGGCACUCCCCGGGUUCCCCCUAGUGGCCCCCGCGGGAACUGGCGCUCAGAAUUAGGUAGCUGGUAGCUGUCACAGAGCCUUCACCGACCACAGCGGAGCCGCGCCACAGACCCCACCAAUCACAGGACCAGUCGGUCUACGUCUCUCCAAACCCGCGGAAGCCAGCUCGACACAAUCACCAAUAACAGCUCGUCGCUACUGCACCAAUCAGGAUGCAAGAUGUAAAAACCGGUUCCCCAGCCGCCUCCGCGCUGCCCUUCCAGGGUUCCUGAAACCUCAGUUCCCAGCACCUGCUGCCAGUGCGCAGGCGCCUUGGAGGAAGGUCCCAGGCUUCGUGCUGGCUCCCAGCGGAAGCCCACGUUUGCAUUCAGAGGCAUAUUUAAUGACAUUGCUGUCAUUAAAUGUCACCCCUCCAUUAUGGAAAUUGGAGGGUAUGGGCAGUGGAAAAACUGGACCUUGGAGUCAGACAUACUGAAGCUUUGUGCAGCGGGAGGUUUGCUUCCCUUUCCUCAGCUGUUACGAGAACAAUAGUAAUAUCUACACGAAAUACCGGUCACCCUUCCCCAUCAAUAAUCCAAGGGCAAAUACUAGGAGUCACUAUCUUUGUGUCCCGCCUCACCUGCUAUCUCUCCCUUCAUCAGAAAACCCAGUUCUUCCACCUCCAACAGUAUCUAGAGUUUUCAUCAUCUUUCCAUCUCCAACUGAACCAGCGGUGGCAGAAACGCCCAUCAUCUCUGGACAUCUGUUUUCCACUCGGGCUCCCCUACCACCCACUCCUCAGCCUGGGACAGGGGUGAUCUUGUACAAGCCUACAUUGGAUCAGAUCCUCCUCUACUUACACUUUUACAACUUCCUUUGCAUUUAUAAUAAAGCUCAUAAAACCCCUGCCAGAGACUAAGGCAGGACACAACCUCCUUUUUAACCUCUCUACCUCUCCAACCUUAUUCCAUCCCACUCCUGCACCCCCUCCUUUUUUUCCCUUCCUGUCUCAGGGUCUUUGCACAUUCUUUGUCCUCUGCCUGGAAUAUGAUUCCUGGGUCCUUUGCAUGCCUGUUGGGUGAAAAAAUAUCCUUCAGAUGUGGACUUAAUUUUUAUUGUAUCUGGGAGGAAUUUCCUAUAUGUUUAUGCAGAGUCUCUGCAUCCUUCACCUCUUUAUUCUCUAUCUCUGUACUUAUUAUUUCCCCUUAGCACUUUAUAUUGAUUUGAAAUGGCACAAAUGUUUGGUUACUUGUGUGUUAACUAUUUCCAGGUCAGGACAGAAUGCCUUUAUUUUAUUUGUGUAUGGUGCUAAGGAUCAAACCCAGGGCCUCACACAUGCUAGGCAAGUGUUCUGCCACUGUGCUUCAGCCCCAGCCCUCUGAAAAAGAUUUUGAAGGAGAGACUACUAAUCAUAUGCUGACGUCCUUGGUGAACAGUAGGCAAUCAACAGAAAGGAGUUCAUGCUUACAGAAGUUCUGGAAGGUGGAGAUUGAAAUCAUAGGUGCUUCUACAUGUAGGAGGGCUCAAGAAGUGAGAAGCACUUGUUUGUCCACCAGAGUUUCCUUGGUGCUGUCAGCUUCAUGCAUGGGUGCAUGGAGGAGCUGUCCUGGGCUUGCAGGCUGCUUGGCAGCAUCUUUGGCCUCAAUUCAUUAGAUGCCAGUAGCACCUUGCCCCUCUCCCCAGAGGUGAACCCCCCACCAAAAAAAAAAAAUUCUCCAGAUAUUUAAAAACAUCCCUUGGGGGUCAAAAUUUCCCUUGAUGGAGAACUAUUGUGCUAGACCUCUUAGAUGUACAAGAAAAUUUUCUUCCAGUAAUUCAGAGCUUCUCAAAUUUCAGUGUCCAAACAAAUCAUCUUGGGGCCAUUACUGAAAAUCCGAAUCCCUGGGGUCCCACCUUCAGGCUCUGGGGUCAGCAGCGGGCCCAGGCAGCAGAUGUUUCGUGAGCUUCCAGACGCUUCUGGUGCAAGAUGUUCUCAGACCCCACUCUAAAAACUCUGCCAAGAAUCCUCCUGAUAACCUGAUAAGCAGGCACCACUGUGGGAGGCCCCGCCCACACGGAUCCUGCCUUUACUUCCUCUCCUUUCCAGCCACCCUUCCCUGGAUGACUUUCCCAAGGAGACACAGAACCUGUCUCAGCCAAGCCCACACUGCCUCAUCUCCCUUCUGAGCAGACAUACAAACUGACCACAGUUCAGUGGAAGCCACCUGUGGAAAGACACUGGGGCACUGGGGAUGGAAACCAGAGUCUCACACAUGCUAAGCGCACACAGUGAGCUAUUCCGAGAGCUAGACCUCCAGUUCUGUGUGUUUGUUCUUAUUUUCAAAAUAGGAGUGACAAUGAGCGUGUGACUGGGAGUGUGAGUGGUAUAGGUGUUGAUCUACAGGAAGGGCUCAGAACUGGCCCUGCACAGUGACUGCUAUGGAGAGCAGGCAGGGUCAAGAGCCAAGUGACUCAGGAAAAGUGUUUGAACUUGAUGGAGAGGAACAAGAAACCCUCCGCAGUGGUCAAAAAUAAACCACCAGACAGUGUGGCAGGCAGAGCUGCCCUAGCAGCAGGUAAGAGGCUACACCUGGAAACCACUGCCCAAACCUAGACUCAGGUGUCAGUGACAAGGACAUAGUGCUCGGGUCUCCAGAGCUGAGGCCCCCUGCAUUCUACCCAGAAAGGACCAGAAAGGGACAGCUGCACCUGGUUCUGAUUUUAUAAUUAGACACAUAAAAUUUUCCUAGGAUGGGGCAAGGUGGGGAAACAAUCAGAGAGCUAAAGGCCAUCUGGCCUGGAUCCUGGGAAAGAGGAGAGACACAGUGUAGCACAGAGGGUAAGGCAUUGCCAUUAAAAUAUAGCAAUGGCACCAUUUGCAUAGCUGUUGGACCUGAUUAAAAUUAGAAGUUCUUGUCAAGCGCAUUGCCCCAGGCCUGUAAUCCCAGCAGCUCAGGAGGCUGAGGGCAGGAAGAUCAGGAGUUCAAAGGAAGCCUCAGCAACUUAGUGAGGCCCUGAGCAAUUUAGCGAAAUCGUGUGUCAAAAUAAAAUAUAAGCAGGGCAAGGUGGCACAGGGCAAGGUGGCUCAGGCCUGUAAUCCCGGUGGCUUGGGAGGAUGAGGCAGGAGGAUCACGAGUUCAAAGCCAGCCUCAGCAACCGCAAAGUGGAGCAGGAGGAUCACGAGUUCAAAGGCAGCCUCAGCAACCGCAAGCAACUCAGUGAGACCCUGUCUCUAAAUAAGAUACAAACACAGGGCUGGGGAUGUGGCUCAGUGGUUGAAUGCUACUGAGUUCAAUACCCACUACCCACCUCCCCCAAAUUAAUUUCAACUGUUUUUUGGUUCUUUUAAAAUGAAACUUCAUUUUGGUGUACUGUAGAUUCACUCACUUUUAAAAAUUGUUUAAGGGGCUGGAGUUGUGGCUCAGUGGUCUGGCGCUCGCCUAGCACAUGCAAGGCCCUGGGUUUGAUCCUUAGCACCAGAUAAAAAUAAAUUAAAAAAAAAAAAAGAUAUUUUGGGCUGGGGAUGUGGCUCAAGCGGUAGCACGCUCGCCUGGCAUGCAUGCGGCCCGGGUUCGAUCCUCAGCACCACAUACAAACAAAGAUGUUGUGUCUGCCGAAAACUGAAAAAUAAAUAUUAAAAAUUAAAAAAAAAAAAGAAGUUCAAACUUGAGCUCAGUUUAAAAAAAAUUGUUUAAAUAUUGUUGCUGCAGGGGCUGGGGAUGUGGCUCAAGUGGUAGCGCGCUCGCCUGGCAUGCGUGCGGCCCGGGUUCGAUCCUCAGCACCACAUACAAAGAUGUUGUGUCCGCCGAAAACUAAAAAAUAAAUAUUUAAAAAAAAAAUUCUCUCUUUAAAAAAAAAUAAAUAAAUAUUGUUGCUGGAAAUAGAUAAAUAGAGCAGUGGGGAGAGCCCAGAAGGUCUAUACAUAUUGGAAAACGGAAGACAGAAGUGGUGGUAGGUACUGCAUACCAGGCAAUUAAGAUGCCCUAUUCAGUAAAGGGUAUAGGACCAAGUGGCUUUUCAAAUAACAAAAAAAUGUCCUCUGCUCUGGUUUGGAUGUGUCCUUCAGGAGUUCAUGUGUAGCAAUGCACAGGCUGAGGGCAUGUAGAUGUGAGGCCUUUAGGAUUAAAUGAGCUCAUGCAGGUGGGUGUUCAUGGCUUUCUGAGGGCAAGAGAGGCUCCCACAAGCAUACUUGCUCUGCCCCUCCAUGUGGUGACACAGCCAGGAGGCCCCCACCAGAUACUGAAAAGAUGCUGGUACCAUGCCCAAUUUCCCAGCCUACAGCACUCUGAGCCAACUAAACUUCUGUGCUUUAUAAAUUACUCAGUCUUGGGUAUUUUGUUAUAGCAACAGAAAAUUGAAUAAGCUAAUAUUCUCAUUUCGUACCACACACAAAACCCAAUCCCUGUGGAAUAAAGACCUAACUAUGAAAAUGAAAGUUUUCAUGCCUAUAGAAAAUAUUUAGGGUAAUAUCUUCUUUCUCUCAAGGCACUGGAAUAGUGAAUGGACAAGAUAUACAAAAAGCACAAACCAUACAGGAAAAUACUAUAUUUAAUGACUUUAUAAAUCAGCUAAAAUAUAACUACAUUAAAACUCUAAGCAUCUAGCCAGGCUCAGUGCUACACGCCUGUAAUAUCAGUCACUCAGGAGGCUGAGGCAGGAGGAUUGCAGGUUUGAGGCCAACCUCAUCUAUUUAGAAAGACCCUUUCUCAAAAUAAUAAAUAAAAAAGGACUGGGGGUAUAGCUCAUGAGUUAAGUGCUGCUGGGUUCAGUAUCCAGUAUGGUACAUUAAUAAAUAAGUGAAUAAAUAAAUGGAGUGGAAAGAUUAGCUACAGAUGUUCAAUGGUACUUGCCAUUAAUAUAACUAAAAAAGGAUUAGUAUCAAGAGUGAAUAACUCAGGGCUGGCGCUGUAGCUCAGUGGUAGAGCGCUUGCCUAGCACGUGUGAGGCACUGGGUUCAAUCCUCAGCACCACGUAAAAAUAAAUAAAUAAAAUAAAGGCAUGCUGCCCAUUUACAACUACAAUUUUUUUUUUAAAAAGAGUGAAUAACUCACACACUAUUUUGAGAACAAUGUUAUUUCAGUGAACGGUGUGUCGGCCAUGCUGAAGUUUACCUGUAGUGCGCUAUUUAAAAACAUAUGUAUAAAAGGUCUUUCUUGCCAGGCUGUGGUGCCGCAGGCCUGUAAUCCCAGUGACUCAGGAGGCUGAGGCAGGAGGACCGUGAGCUGGAGGCCAGCAUCAGCAACUUAGUGAGAUCUUAUCUCGUAAUAAAAAAAUAAAAGAACUGGGGAUGUAGCUCAGCAGUAAAGCACUCCUGGGGUUCAAUCCCCAGUAGACAAAAUAAUAGAAGUAAUAACUCCUACAAAUUGAUAAGGCAAAUAAUGUAAUAAGAAAGCAGGAAAAGAUAAAGACAAUCUCAGAAGGGGAAGAAACCCCAAGACAGAGAGAACCCCUCCCUCCCUCUCUAGCAAUAGAUGAAAUACAAAUGGAAAAGUGAAGCAUCAUUUUACCUUCGUCAUCUUGCUUUUGAGGAUGUGGAGCAAGGAGAACCCUCAACACUGCUGACAGGUGUGGGGUGGACAGAGGGGUAUGUACCAAGAUCUCAUGGGAAGGAAGAGGCCCGCUGCCUGAGACGCAGAGGCCCCACUACUGUGCAGUGCCGUAGAGAAAAACUCUCAUCCACAGACAGAAGAAUGUUGUUCGUGGCUUUAAGAUGGUGACAAACUGGCUGGGCCUUGUGGCACAUGCCUCCGAGGAGAAUGGCAAGUUCAAAG